UCUCCGUUGGUGAACCAGCGGAGGGGUCAUUACCGAGUGCAAACUCAUAACCCUUUGUGAACCUAUAUCUGUUGCUUCGGCGGCUCGCUCUCGGGCGAGCCCGCCGGUAAUAUCAGUAUCUCUGUUUGAACCCGACGAUACUUCUGAGUGUUCUUAGCGAACAGUUAAAACUUUUAACAACGGAUCUCUUGGCUCUA
Molecule: unclassified non-coding RNA, 197 nt
Filed under: plant metagenome
Description: partial contains small subunit ribosomal RNA, internal transcribed spacer 1, and 5.8S ribosomal RNA
Source: RNAcentral